This 19-nucleotide small nuclear RNA is filed under the name Arabidopsis thaliana (thale cress). Its description in RNAcentral is "snRNA_16984". Lineage: Eukaryota; Viridiplantae; Streptophyta; Magnoliopsida; Brassicales; Brassicaceae. The record is from RNAcentral.
CCUUCGGAAUUUGAAGCUA